Molecule: non-coding RNA, 28 nt
Filed under: Rattus norvegicus (Norway rat)
Lineage: Eukaryota; Metazoa; Chordata; Mammalia; Rodentia; Muridae
Source: RNAcentral
UAAGGUGUGAAUGACGGUGAAUGACUGC